AUGAAGAAGGAAAACCUUAGUAAUGUGCUUCUCAUUUCUUCCAGAAGUCAAGAGGAAGGGAGAUGCUGUGAACAUAAAGAAAGUAAUCAGUGUGGAGAAAGCGGCAGCUGUAAACCUGAUUGUCUUGAAAACAAGAUAAUUCCUCCUGGAGUAAAAUCAAGUGAAAGCCCGACAUGGAGGAACUCACGCUGGAGAAUAACCCUGAAUAAAGUACGUGGGAAGACUUUGUUAUUACAUAAGCUUUCUAGCAGAGUUUAGAAUGCACAUUGCAGAGAACUUGUAUUAAUGUAAAUCAUGUGGGAAUGCCUCUAGUUAUCUUGGUUCAAUAUAUAUAUAUAUAUAUGUACAUAGAUACAGUAUGGAGAGAAGCCUAGAAUAGAAGAGAAAUGCAAAAAGAUUAAGUUGGCCUACAUAUACACAGGAUCAAACUCUGUGAAAAAUACAAGAUCGUUUUCAGUUUUAAUAAUUUCAAUGUCCUGUGAAAAUUUCUCAGGUAGUGGAACCCUAUAAGUGUAAUUAAUGUGAAGAGCUUGAUAUAAUUUGUUUAGCAUUCUCUAGAGAAUUCACUGUAGGAAACAUACUAAAACUUAUAAAUAUAUUAUGUUCAUAAGUGGCUCAUUCUGAAAGUAGAUCUCUACAGUCUAGAUUUCUAAUUUAUAUUCUUAAAAAUAAAUGAGAAACAUAUCUCUGCGAGUUUCAUUUAGGCAAUAGCAUGAGAGUUUAUAUAUGUAGUUGUCUUUCAGUCAAAUGAGUUUUUGUCCUUUGAACUUGAACCAUGUUGUGGAUCCAUAGGUGAAUUAAUCUGUUUCAAAUGUGCCAUAGGCCUAACUUUUAUGCAGUUUUUAAAUAAUUGUGGUUAAAAGGCUACUGAAAAGUAAAGUGGUUUUAGAGUUUUUUUUUUUUUUGUUUUUUUGGUACUGGGGUUCUACAUUUUUUAGACUUUCUUGUAGAUUAACAUUUUCUUUUAAUUUUGUAUUUUCACAAAAACUUAUUGGCAAAAUUCAAAAUGUAGUGAUAAUAUAUAUUUUGGGAUACAGAUCUAAUAAGAAUAAGAAAAUUCUUUAUAGAUGGAAUAAUAAUUCAGUUAACUGGGAAUUAAAAGUUAAGAAUUUCUGUCAUACUAAUUACAGAUAUGUUCUGUAAAAAUAAUUCUUAGCUGAAAGGCUUUGCAAAUUCAGUUCGUUAGAUUUGGACUACAAAUCAUAAUUGGUGUAUAAGAUAUUUUUACCAGUACCAAGGAAGAAACAAAAAUCAGAAGAAAUCAAAGACCACCAAAAAUAGAUGUUGUUUCUUACCUUUUUUUCUAAUAUCUGUAUGCUGCUUUAUUUCACAUUUCAUUGCAUUCGACCUCCUUGUUGACAAAGUCAUCUGUUUGCUCAGAGAUGGAUUAGAAUUAUUUAGCAGAAAAGAGAAAGAAUAAAUUUGUAUUUUUUGCUUCCCAAAUUUAAUUUUUUUGUUUUUUUUUUUUUUUUUUUUUUUGGUACCACAGAUUGAACCCAGAGGUGCUUAACACUGAGUAACAUCUCCAGCCCCAACUCCCCCUUUUUUUUAAUCUAGAGACAGAUCUCACUAAGUUGCUUAGUGCCUCAGCCUCUGAACCAUUGGAAUUACAGGUGUGAACCACCACACCCAACACAAGCUAGUGGUUCUAUUUGGAGGUGGCAGUUCUCUUAAGAGGUGGGGCCUCCUUGGAGAAACUGGACAUCUGAGAUGUGGGAGAUGUUGGAACACCAGCCUCUUCCUCACUUUUUGCUUCUGAGCCACCAUGAGGUGAGAAACUCCCUGCCAUGCUGUGUUCUGUUAUCAGUGGCUGAAAUGACAGAGCCAAAUGUCAGGACUGACAUCCCUGAAACUGAGCUAAACUAAACUUUCCCUCCUUCCAGUUGUUUAUUUUAGUUUUUUGUCAUAGAGAUGGAAAACUAUCAAACCAAGUGACCAUUUAAUGAGAAAGUAAAUGUGGAUAGAAGGAAACCAUGUGCUGCUAUCAUUGAGAAAAUGGGUGAAAGACUCUCAAGCUCUUUUGGACACCUUUAGUGCUGCCUCUGCCAUGACAGACCCAAAGAGCUUGGCCUGGAGCACAAAACAAUGAAAUAGGAGGUGCCUGGGUCACUCAUGUGAGAACUGGAACUUCCUCCAACUUGACCAGAAGACACUGAGCACCUACAUUUAAGAGUAACCACUCUUUGAUAACCAGAUCUAAAUUGCCCCCUUCUGGAAAGCCUGCCAACUGCCUUUACUGCAAGGCAAAGGCCUGACUUCACACUCUUGGCUCCCCCAGCUCCUGUCCUCCCUCCGACCCCACCUUGACCACGUGAGACUGCAGCAAGCUCCUCAAGCCAAGGCCUUUCUGUGCAGAGAGAUGCUGCAGGAAGCCUUUGUUAUGGGCUGGGAAAGGGAGUGGAGAUUGAAGGCACCCCAAGUCUCUACUUUAUUCUGCAGACCCUGAGACAGCCAAUCCAAUUUGGCCUCCUGCAGAGGCCCAUCAGAAUGUCCUGUGGGGAAGGACUCAGCAGACAGGACAGAGCUUUAGUUCAAAGUACUCCUUGGUCUGGUUCCUGCACAGCGUGGGCAUGCACCAUGAAAGAAUCGAGCAGGGAGCCGCCUAGGCCUUCUCUAACUGGCUCCUUCUUGGAAAUGCAGUCCAGGUAGAGGGAGAACAGGAAGGUGAUAGCACCAGACAGCAUGGAACAUUUGCACUUAGAGCUAUUCAGUGUCUGGUGUUGGGGUGCAGCAUUGCAGAGAAGGGAGAAAAAGCCAGAAUCUUCCAGUGUGGGAGGCUCUCUGAGGAAGUCUUUGGUUUCUUCUUCCCCCCACCCCCACCCCUUGUCUUUACCCAGCUUAGGUGUCCAUUUUAGCUUCUAACUUGGUGAUUCUCACUCCACAGUAAUUCUCUAAACAUUUCUUGUUCUCAUUACUUUGGGAAAUUAAGGGAAUUUAUCUAGUGAGUUAAUGCCAAGGAUGCUGCUAAAUGGUGUGCGUGCCCACCUGAAAGGAUUAUUCAGCUCCAUGUGUCACUGGUGCUAACCUUCAGAGACCCUGGUCCAGGUGUUUCUCAUUUCCAUAAUUGCCAUAUUUGUUCCCCUUAUAACCUGGAGAGGCAGAUUAGAGCUAGGUGCACUCAUGUGCUGUGUAAUAUUUGCUCAGCACUUGUGCAUGAGUCAUCUUCAGAGAGACUGAGUAGGGGACGUGGUCAGAAGACUUUCUGUGCAGCUCAUAAAUGUGCUCUUACGAAGACGGGUAUUUCUUCCUCGUGUCCAGCAACAGUCUUCUUCAUUUUGGAGGUGAUUCUGUGCACCAGGUGACCCUUCCUGUGGGUUAUACUUGGGACAGUACCCUUCUGAGACUACAGGGGUUAUGAGUAUAGAAGGCCUUGUUCCAGGGCCAAGGGGUUCAAUAGCUCUGCUCAGUUAUGUAGCUCAAGUUAGUCAUUUAAAUGUUUUGUGUCUUGUUCUCUGAUAGACUUCAGAGUCACGUUUGAUUCCACAGGGUUUCCAACUUGGAGCUUUUGAACCUCAUUGGAUGAUACACAGUUCUUUCCUUAUUUAUUGCCCUUUUCCUCCCUUCAUGACAAUGAAAGAACUAUUUUGUAUGCUUUAUAGACAACGGCAGUGACCU
This 3615-nucleotide long non-coding RNA is filed under the name Ictidomys tridecemlineatus (thirteen-lined ground squirrel). RNAcentral's name for it is "lncRNA (ENSSTOG00000034323.1)". The record is from RNAcentral. Lineage: Eukaryota; Metazoa; Chordata; Mammalia; Rodentia; Sciuridae.